AAUCCGCGAUAGAUGUAAUGUCCUGGAAUGGUAUUACGUCUAAAGGUAUUUCAUACAUGUUUGAAAUAUGCCUAAGGAUGGGGCUGCGGCCGAUCAGGCUGUUGGUGAGGUAAUGGCUCACCAAACCUUUGACCGGUACGGGCCAUGAGAGUGGUAGCCCGGAGAUGGACACUGAGACAAGGGUCCAGGCCCUAAGGGGCGCAGCAACCGCGAAACCUCCACAAUGCACUCACGUGCGAUGGGGCUAUCUCGAGUGCCACCUGAUGAAGGUGGCUUUUCCUGGGUCUUCAAAGCCUUGGGAAUAAGAGGGGGGCAAGACUGGUGUCAGCCGCCGCGGUAACACCAGCCCCUCGAGUGGUGGGGAUGAUUAUUUGGCCUAAAGCGUCCGUAGCCGGCCGAGCAAGUCUUCCGUUAAAUCCAGCGCCUCAAGCGUUGGACUGCGGGAAAUACUGCCUGGCUAGAGAGUGGGAGAGGUCAGCGGUAUUCUGGGGUAGGGGCGAAAUCCUUUGAUCCCCGGAGGACCACCAGUGGCGAAGGCUGCUGACUAGAACACGUCUGACGGUCAGGGACGAAAGCUGGGGUAGCGAACCGGAUUAGAUACCCGGGUAGUCCCAGCCGUAAACGAUGCAUGCUAGGUGUUGGGUUGGCCACGAGCCACCCCAGUGCCGCAGGGAAGCCGUUAAGCAUGCCGCCUGGGAAGUACGAUCGCAAGAUUGAAACUUAAAGGAAUUGGCGGGGGAGCACCACCAGGCGUGAAGCCUGCGGUUUAAUUGGAGUCAACGCCGGA
Molecule: ribosomal RNA, 787 nt
Filed under: uncultured archaeon
Lineage: Archaea
Description: bacterial SSU rRNA
Rfam family: Archaeal small subunit ribosomal RNA
Source: RNAcentral